UAGGGAAUCUUCCGCAAUGGACGCAAGUCUGACGGAGCAACGCCGCGUGAGUGAAGAAGGUUUUCGGAUCGUAAAACUCUGUUGUUAGAGAAGAACAAGUGCUAGAGUAACUGUUAGCGCCUUGACGGUAUCUAACCAGAAAGCCACGGCUAACUACGUGCCAGCAGCCGCGGUAAUACGUAGGUGGCAAGCGUUGUCCGGAUUUAUUGGGCGUAAAGCGAGCGCAGGCGGUUCCUUAAGUCUGAUGUGAAAGCCCCCGGCUCAACCGGGGAGGGUCAUUGGAAACUGGGGAACUUGAGUGCAGAAGAGGAGAGUGGAAUUCCAUGUGUAGCGGUGAAAUGCGUAGAUAUAUGGAGGAACACCAGUGGCGAAGGCGACUCUCUGGUCUGUAACUGACGCUGAGGCUCGAAAGCGUGGGUAGCAAACAGGAUUAGAUACCCUGGUAGUCCACGCCGUAAACGAUGAGUGCUAAGUGUUGGAGGGUUUCCGCCCUUCAGUGCUGCAGUUAACGCAUUAAGCACUCCGCCUGGGGAGUACGACCGCNAGGUUG
This 550-nucleotide ribosomal RNA is filed under the name uncultured bacterium. RNAcentral's name for it is "bacterial SSU rRNA". It matches the Rfam family "Bacterial small subunit ribosomal RNA", at positions 355 to 896 of the family's 1533-position model. The record is from RNAcentral.